UUGCAGAUGUUGGCGUGUUGUAUUGGCAUUUGGACCCUAAGAAGUCUGAAAGCGAGGAGGAACUAGCAAAAAUCCGCAGAGACAGAGGAUACAGUUACAUGGAUCUUAUUGAGAUAUGUCCCGACAAACUGGAAAACUAUGAGGAGAAGGUGAAUAACUUCUUCCGUGAGCACAUGCACGCUGACGAAGAGAUCCGCUAUUGCUUGGAGGGCAGCGGGUACUUUGACGUCCGCGACAAAGAUGACAAGUGGAUUCGAAUUCGGAUAAGGGAAGGAGACAUGAUCAUCCUACCAGCUGGAAUUUAUCAUCGUCUCACCCUCGACAGCGCUAAAUACACGAAGCUCAUGAGGCUUUUCAUUGGGGAACCAGUCUGGACCGCAUUAAACCGCCCUCAGGAGGACCACCCGGCGAGGCAAGAGUAUGUCAAGAAUGUGAGUGCGGGCACUGGAUUUGCUCUUGCAGCUCACU
RNA transcript from Zea mays, 468 nucleotides. It is a transcript of the gene named 1,2-dihydroxy-3-keto-5-methylthiopentene dioxygenase 4, with no coding region annotated. The transcript has 3 exons. Lineage: Eukaryota; Viridiplantae; Streptophyta; Magnoliopsida; Poales; Poaceae. The record is from RefSeq and is marked validated.